Molecule: non-coding RNA, 299 nt
Organism: Callithrix jacchus (white-tufted-ear marmoset)
Lineage: Eukaryota; Metazoa; Chordata; Mammalia; Primates; Cebidae
Source: Rfam
ACUGGGCAUGAUGACAUUUGCCUAUAGUCCCAGCUAUUCAGGAGGCUGAGGCAGGAGGAUCGCUUGAGCCCAGGAGUUCUGGGUUGUAGUGUGCUAUGCCAAUUGGGUGUCCACACUAAGUUCAGCAUCAGUACAGGGACCUCCUGGGGUGGGGGACCAGCAGAUUGCCUAGGGAAGGGUGAACUGGCCCGGGUUGGAACUGGAGCAGGUCAGAACUGCCAUGCUGAUCAGUCGGGGGUUCCUGCUUGGAAAUAGGCACUGCAUGCCAGCCUGGGGGACAUAGUGAGGGCCCAUCUCUA